AGCAGGCGCGCAAAUUACCCAAUCCCAAUACGGGGAGGUAGUGACAAUAAAUACUGAUACGGGGCUCUUUCGGGUCUCGUAAUUGGAAUGAGUACAAUCUAAAUCCCUUAACGAGGAACAAUUGGAGGGCAAGUCUGGUGCCAGCAGCCGCGGUAAUUCCAGCUCCAAUAGCGUAUAUUAAAGUUGUUGCAGUUAAAAAGCUCGUAGUUGAACCUUGAGCCUGGCUGGCCGGUCCGCCUCACCGCGUGCACUGGUCCGGCCGGGUUUUUCCUUCUGGGGAGCCGCAUGCCCUUCACUGGGUGUGUCGGGGAACCAGGACUUUUACUUUGAAAAAAUUAGAGUGUUCAAAGCAGGCCUAUGCUCGAAUACAUUAGCAUGGAAUAAUAGAAUAGGACGUGUGGUUCUAUUUUGUUGGUUUCUAGGACCGCUGUAAUGAUUAAUAGGGAUAGUCGGGGGCGUCAGUAUUCAAUUGUCAGAGGUGAAAUUCUUGGAUUUAUUGAAGACUAACUACUGCGAAAGCAUUCGCCAAGGAUGUUUUCAUUAAUCAGUGAACGAAAGUUAGGGGAUCGAAGACGAUCAGAUACCGUCGUAGUCUUAACCAUAAACUAUGCCGACUAGGGAUCGGACGGUGGUUUUUUUAUGCCCCGUUCGGCACCUUACGAGAAAUCAAAGUUUUUGG
RNAcentral lists this ribosomal RNA (679 nucleotides) under uncultured fungus. Its description in RNAcentral is "SSU rRNA". It matches the Rfam family "Eukaryotic small subunit ribosomal RNA", at positions 427 to 1110 of the family's 1831-position model. The record is from RNAcentral. Lineage: Eukaryota; Fungi.